CCCAUAAUAGUCGGAAAGCCGAUAAGAACAUAAAUGGAUACUAAAAAACUACACCACUCUUUGUAAUUCUUUUUGUCUGUGUGGUUUAUUUUGUCGAUAUUCCAGUUGCUUCUUUGAAGCUUUAAGUCUACAACCGCUAAAAGUAUGGAAAAACAGUUAGCCUUUUUUCAAUUUUUUUUUUCAGAGUAAUAGUGGAUUGAACCAUGCACAACAGAUGUAGUCUAAAUUUUGACAACUUGACACAUUUGGACUACAAAUCUCAGACAUAAUUCAAAUUCUGUUUCAUUAUUGUGCUGAUUCAACAGAACCCUUAUGUUAAGAAUUCGACUUUUUUUCUUAUUCAAAUGGGCGUUUCAGCAAUAACAGAUUAAUGUCAUCCUGUCAUUUAAUAUUGUCAUUUAAGUAGCAUAUUUAACAUAACCAUAAAAGCGCAGUUUGGCCAGCAAUUAAACCAGGUUUCGACCCACCAUUUUUCUAAAAAUGUCCUCUACUAAGUCAUAAAAUGGAGUUGUUAUCUUAUAGUUCGUUUCUGUGUGUGUUGCAUUGUCAUUUGGGUUUUUUUUUGUGUUUUUUUGCACUUCAGUGUUUCUAUUGUGUCUUUGUUUCAUGCUACAGUAUUAGAUACACUGAUUCUAACAGAUGUCAUUUAUGAUUCAUUUUUACUUUUUGUACAGGGGUAAGAAACAUACAGAGUAUUUUUUUCUAUUUUAAUCCAAUAUUUAAAAUACUACUGUUGCCUAUUUAAAUCCAGUAUUUUAUCUUUCCUUUUUCUCUUUCUUUGAUAUUCCCAUGAGUUGUCAAUAUACAUUUCGAUUUCCCGUUGAAACUGAAAAAUCAAAAUUUCUAAUUUCAGUUUAAAAAAUUGAUUAGAAUUGUGUACAUGUGUUUUGGAAGAAAAUUGCUAUUGCAUAUUGUAUAAAUCAUUAACCCCAUUUAAGAAUUAUCAUUUAUUAUAUCUGUUUAAUGUAGUUUAAUAUCAAUAUUACAGUUAACGUUAAAUGCAUCAUUAUGUGAACGUAAAUCUGUAGAAACUAGUGUGCCCGAUGCUUUUUUUUUU
This 1057-nucleotide long non-coding RNA is filed under the name Mytilus galloprovincialis (Mediterranean mussel). The record is from RNAcentral. Lineage: Eukaryota; Metazoa; Mollusca; Bivalvia; Mytilida; Mytilidae.